Molecule: ribosomal RNA, 493 nt
Filed under: uncultured bacterium
Lineage: Bacteria
Description: partial 16S ribosomal RNA
Rfam family: Bacterial small subunit ribosomal RNA
Source: RNAcentral
AUUGAACGCUGGCGGCAUGCCUUACACAUGCAAGUCGAACGGUAACAGGUUAAGCUGACGAGUGGCGAACGGGUGAGUAAUAUAUCGGAACGUGCCCAGUCGUGGGGGAUAACGUAGCGAAAGCUACGCUAAUACCGCAUACGAUCUACGGAUGAAAGCGGGGGAUCGCAAGAACUCGCGCGAUUGGAGCGGCCGAAAUCAGAUUAGGUUGUUGGUGAGGUAAAAGCUCACCAAGCCUGCGAUCUGUAGCUGGUCUGAGAGGACGACCAGCCACACUGGAACUGAGACACGGCCCAGACUCCUACGGGAGGCAGCAGUGGGGAAUUUUGGACAAUGGACGCAAGUCUGAUCCAGCAAUGCCGCGUGCAGGACGAAGGCCUUCGGGUUGUAAACUGCUUUUGUACGGAACGAAACGGUGAGCUCUAAUACAGUUUGCUAAUGACGGUACCGUAAGAAUAAGCACCGGCUAACUACGUGCCAGCAGCCGCCGUAA